GCGAGUGUGCUGGAAUUGGCAGACAGGCAUGUUUGAGGGGCAUGUGCUAGCUAUAGCGUAUGGGUUCAAAUCCCAUCACUCGCACCA
RNAcentral lists this transfer RNA (87 nucleotides) under Soehngenia longivitae. RNAcentral's name for it is "Soehngenia sp. 1933P tRNA-Leu". It matches the Rfam family "tRNA". Rfam says of the family: Transfer RNA (tRNA) molecules are approximately 80 nucleotides in length. Their secondary structure includes four short double-helical elements and three loops (D, anti-codon, and T loops). The record is from RNAcentral. Lineage: Bacteria; Bacillati; Bacillota; Tissierellia; Tissierellales; Tissierellaceae.